CAGGCAAGUCUAUCGGGAAAUCUCCCCGCCUAACGGGGAGGCGUCCGGUGGAAACUGCCUGGCUUGGGACCGGAAGAUCCAGAGGGUACGUCCGGGGUAGGAGUGAAAUCCCGUAAUCCUGGACGGACCACCGGUGGCGAAAGCGCUCUGGAAAGACGGAUCCGACGGUGAGGGACGAAGGCUCGGGUCACGAACCGGAUUAGAUACCCGGGUAGUCCGAGCUGUAAACGAUGUCUGCUAGGUGCGCCACAGGCUACGAGCCUGUGGUGUGCCGUAGGGAAGCCGUGAAGCAGACCGCCUGGGAAGUACGUCCGCAAGGAUGAAACUUAAAGGAAUUGGCGGGGGAGCACUACAACCGGAGGAGCCUGCGGUUUAAUUGGACUCAACGCCGGACAUCUCACCAGCAUCGACAGUAGGAGUGACGGUCAGUGUGAUGAGCUUACCAGACCUACUGAGAGGAGGUGCAUGGCCGCCGUCAGCUCGUACCGUGAGGCGUCCUGUUAAGUCAGGCAACGAGCGAGACCCGCACUCCUAAUUGCCAGCAACACCCUUGUGGUGGUUGGGUACAUUAGGAGGACUGCCAGUGCCAAACUGGAGGAAGGAACGGGCAACGGUAGGUCAGUAUGCCCCGAAUGUGCUGGGCAACACGCGGGCUACAAUGGUCGAGACAGUGGGAUGCAACCCCGAGAGGGGGCGCUAAUCUCCGAAACUCGAUCGUAGUUCGGAUUGCGGACUGAAACUCGUCCGCAUGAAGCUGGAUUCGGUAGUA
Molecule: ribosomal RNA, 769 nt
Filed under: uncultured archaeon
Lineage: Archaea
Description: bacterial SSU rRNA
Rfam family: Archaeal small subunit ribosomal RNA
Source: RNAcentral